CAGUUCCCAACACCAUUUUGAGAGGAGAUGAUAAUCACUAGACAUUUGCAAGCAGACCAUAUACUAACAAGGUUUAUAAGGCAUUGAAAUGUUCUCUCCAACUCCACUAAUUUAAAAAUAGAAAAGAAGACAAAUACUCUAGUCAGAAAAUUUUGGUAUUAAAGGAAAUAAAAUAGACACUAAAUCAUAAAGGGUAUGAAAAUAAUAAGGAAAGAAAUGGGGGAAACGAAAGAUACGAAAGAAAAAGUGAGGAGAAAGGGAAAAAAAGGAGAAAGUAAAAAAUUAUAAAAAGAAAUCAAAAAUAAAUCCAUUUUGUUAAAAUGGCCAUAUUAGUAAAAGGGAUCCACAGAUUCAAUGCAAUCCCCAACAAAAUUCCAAUGACAUUCUUCAUAAAACUAGGAGGAAAAUCCUAAAAUUCAUAUAGAAGAACAAAAGGCCCAGAAUAGCUAAAGCAGUUCUGAGCAAAAGAAGUAAUGCUGGAGAUACCACAGUACCCCAUUUCAGAUUAUAUUACUUUCAGAGCCAUAGUAACAAAAGCAGAAUGGUACUGGCAUCAAAAUAGAUACGUAGACCAAUGGAACAGAAGACACAGACAAUUCCACACACCUAACAGUCACCGAUUCUUGACAAAGAUGCUACAAAUGUUUAUUAAAGACAACCUUUUCAAAUAAAUUGUGGCAGGAAAACUGGAUAUCUGUAUGUAGAAAAAUGAAACUAGACCACUGUAAAUGCACAAAAGUCAUCUCAAAUGGAUUCAAGACCUAGGUGUAAGAACAAAAAUUUUACAAGCCAAAGUGGCAGGUUUCAUUGGUGUAGGCGAUGAUUUUUUUAGAUAGGAUCCCAAAGGUACAGAACAAAAGUAAACCUCACUACAGUUGGAAUGACUGUUAUCAAAAAGACAAGAUGCCGCAGGAUGCAGAGAAUGAGGAAAUCUUAUACACUAUUGGGAAAUGUAAACUCAUACGGCCAUUUUGAAAAACAGCACAGAGAUUCCUUUAAAAACUAAAAACUUCUAAAUGAUCCUGCAAUCCCAAUAUUGAUAUGAAAUCAUAUCAAAGAGAUAUCUGCACUCCCAUGUUUAUUAUAGCACUAUUUACCACAGCUAAGAUAUAAAAUCAACCUAGAUGCCCAUCAGUGGACGAAUGGAUAAAGUAAGUGUGGUAUAUGUACACACAAUGGAAGAUUAUUCCACCAUAAAAAAGAACGAAGUUGCCAUUUGCAGAAACAUGGGAAGAACUGGAGAGCGUUAUGGGAGGUGAAAUAAGCCACAGAAAGAGAAAUACCCAUGUUCUUACUCUUAUGAAAACUAAAAAGCUGAUCUCUUAGAAGAAUGGAGUGCAGUGUGCUUGCUUGAGACUGGGAAGUGUAGCCAGGAGGAAGAGAUGGGGAAAAGCCCAAUGAAGAGCACAAACACAUGGAAAAGAGGGAUUAGUUCUGGUUUUCUGUAUAGCACAGAAGGUUAAUUUGGCUAUAGCAAAUUAUGAUUUAUUUCAAAAUGAUAAGAAAACAGCACUAAAUGUCCCCAUCACAUAAAAAGGAUCAACAUUUGAAAAGACUGAAGUCCUUAUUACCCUGAUUUGGUUUAUUAUACAUUAUAUGCAUAUUGAAGUACCAUAAUCCAUAAAAAAUGUACAAAUAUCAUGUCUCAAAAAAUUAGAAAUUUUGUACUAAUUUUAAAACUUGUAUAAAACCAUUUUUGUCAAAACUGUGGGAGUGACAUACAGACACAGAAAGCCCAGAAACAAACCCUCUCAUAUAUAUAGUUAAAUGAUUGUCAACAAUGAUGUCAAAGCCAUUAAAUGAGGGAAGGACCGUUUCAUCAUCAGUUGGUGUUGGCAGAACUGGAUAUCUAUAUGCCAAGAAAUGAACUUACUUCCUUUACACUAUAUACAAGAAUUAAUUAAACUGGAUCACAGACCUAGACAUAAAAGCUAGAACUGUAAAAGAUUUUGAAGAAAAUACAGGGGAAGUCUUUAUGAUAUUGAAUUAGGCAGUGAUCUGUGGCAAAAACAGAAAAACUGGACUUCUUUAAGAACUUUUAUGUAUUAAAGAACACAACACAGUGAAAAGGCUAUACAUGGAAUGGGUGUAAUAUCUGUAAUAACAUCUGAUAAGGAGUUAAUAUCCACAAUAUGUAAAGAAUCUCUAUGAUCUCAACAAUAAAAUGAUUCAUGGGCAAAAGACUUUGCGGAGCAUUUUUCUAAAGACAUACAGUCAAAAAGCACAUGAAAAGAUAACAUUCAUAAUCAUUAGGGAAAUGGAGAUAAAUCACAAUGAAAUAUUCAGACACCCAUAGAAGUUGAUGGAAAUAAUGAGAACUGCAGUGUCUGAAGUGUACAGAAUAGUAUGGUUCCAAAACAACACAUUCAGUGAGAGUUUUCCCAUCUAUGUAAGGAAAAUGAAGUGUUCUUGGUAUCUCCAUUACCUCCCCACAGCUCUGCUUUAUAUUCUGCAACCAUUGCCCCUUUGAGAAAUGAAUUCAUUAUUUCUAAACUCCCUGGGGAAAAGCAGAAAAGACUCCUUCCAAGCAGGAAUGAUUCUUCCAAUUCCCUGGACGGGUUGCCGUCUGCUAGCACUUGGUAUGUGCUCCUAGGAGGACAGUGAGUCAGGGACUCUUAAGAACAGGUGAAACACUACCUCCCCUCAAAUCAUCUUUCUUUUCAGGGUUACAUUCUGGCCUCAAAGGACCAAGUUCCUGGGAAGAAUCUUAAACCCUUCCCAGGGUGCUCAAUAUUACAGUGACUUCCUUAGUUACUAGUCCUUGGAAGUUAAAAUUUCUGCAAAACUACAGAAAAGGUAGUAAGGGGCAUAGAGAAAUGCAAAGCGUCAAAAGACUUCUGGCCAGGAGAGCAGGACACCGUCCAGAGGCAGAGAAACCUUUGGAAGUUUUAUGGCAGGGGAAUGGAGCUCAGUUUGCUUAGCCCUUCUCCCCAUCCCAGGGGGCCCCUUACCCACGCCUGCAUUGUUGAACAUGCCAGGAAGCACCAGCAUGAUGUGGUUGGGCCAGUACUUGCGGUACAGCGGCAUCUCAUAUUCUUUGACCACUAGAAGGUGAAGGUGGCUGAUGCCCUCCAUGGCGUGGAAAAGGUUUAGGAGUCCAUGCUCAUGGCGACCACUGGAAGGAGUGAAAAUAGGGCUCUUGACUGCAUUCAAAUUCUGCUGAAAAGGAAAAGUAAAACCAAAAAGUAAGACCAAAAAGGGAAAGUAAAACCCUCAGAUGUGAGCAGCUUGGAGAACCUGAUCUAGUGCCGGGUGUCUGGCAACCAUCUAGACCUCUCACCCACCUUGUCUGAAACCAGAGGCAGCCGCAUGCUCUCCAGGUGUUUGCCCUGCUUGCUGAAGACAAAAUGACUCUCUUUGGAUUUGGGGAUGAUGAAAUACAGCUGAACUUCUUCUCCCAACAUAGAGGAAGAAAAUGUGAAUGCAUGAAGGGUGGAGUCAGACAUCUACAUUUGAAAAGAAGAAAGGGAAUGUAAGCUCAGGGUUUCCAGACUUCCUGGUCCCUCCUUGGCCUUGUUAUUAAGAGGCAAACUGACAUCUACAAGUGCCACCAGAUCUUCAGGCUGAGGGUAGCAACAGUUACAAGGGUGGGAAGCUUCAACACACAGUAGCUUCCACUGACAUGAGAGCUAGGCAUCUUGCCCUGUGUGGCCUCUCCAUGGAUGAAGGACUUGUUGCUGCCACUGUCUUUUCAUUCUUCAUGCUCUUAGGGCUCAAUUGCUCAGUCUUAGGCAGAGAUCAGACCUCCCUCUGGUGUGUUCUGCUAUGUGCACAUUCCCAAAGGCCCCCAGUUACAGGGGGAAACACUAAUGCUCUGUGAGCCAGGGUUGAAUGAACUGAAUUUGAGCUUUCUAAACAAAGUAGAACUGACACCACUGAAUUGGCUUCUGUGGCACCAUCUUUCCUGGCUGCACUGGAAGCUGUAAAGACACAGUCAUUUAGUCCCAAACUCUGGCUUUAGGGAAGGACCAUUUACUCAUCCUAGCCAAGUUGCUGGGAAGUUCACGUGCUCUCAGUAGCCUAUCUCUGAAUAAUUAUAUAAUAGGUUUUUACAUGCUUUUACAAAAUGCAGACAAUAUUUGGCUUAAUGAAAGAUAACAUCAGUUAUUCCUCAGUAACCAGAAUCCAGAAUGGUUUCUCAAUAGUUUUAACCCAAAUAUUACAUUUCUUAGAAAAAACAAUAUUAUGGUUCUUCCUUUAAAUUCGAGUUUAUUCUGGGGCUGGGGAUGUGGCUCAAGCAGUAGCACGCUCGCCAGGCAUGCGUGCGGCCCGGGUUCGAUCCUCAGCACCACAUACAAACAAAGAUGUUGUGACCACCAAAAACUAAAAAAAUAAAUAUUAAAAUUCUCUCUCUUUCAAAAAAAAAAUUCUAGUUUAUUCUGCUUCACAGAUGUGGAAAUAUAUUACUUAGUACUGUAGUCAUACAGAAACUUUAUAUAUGAAAAAGCUGGGCAUAGGGUGCAUGCCUGUAAUCCCAGUAACUCUGGAGGCUGAGACAGGAGGAUCGCAAGGUUAAGACCCGCUUCAGCAAUUUAGCUAAACCCUCAGCAACUUAGUGAGGCCCUGUCUCAAAAUAAACAGGGCUGGGGGUGUAGCUCAAUGGGUUAGAUCCCCAGUACCAAAAAAUAAAUAAACCUUUAUGAAAAGGGGUUUUAAAAUUUUUCUAAAAACUUAUGGUUUAUAGAUCAGAGGACUUGCAUAUUCUGUAUUCUGUAAAGCAUUAAAGCUGAUUUCAAAGUAGCCCACCAAGCAAGCAAAUAGUGUACAAAAGGUGAUCUGUAUUCCAGUUUUUCAAUGUGUCCUUUCCAGUGUCCAUUUGUAUUUCAGGAUGUGAUGCAGGGGAGGGGUGAGGACCUGGUCCUGAGGAGCAGAAACAGGUUGGGGGAUCCACUCAGCAUGGCCUCAAAGAAGCAAGAGUUGUUUCUAGGUGCUCAGUGCCAACUCAUUAAAAUCAAGAAGAGUACAAUCAGAGAAGUGAAAAAUUGUGCUCCAUUUGUGUACAAUGAAUCAAAGAACAUUCUGCUGUCAUGUAUAACUGAUCAGAACAAAUAAA
Molecule: long non-coding RNA, 5053 nt
Filed under: Marmota monax (woodchuck)
Lineage: Eukaryota; Metazoa; Chordata; Mammalia; Rodentia; Sciuridae
Source: RNAcentral